This 118-nucleotide ribosomal RNA is filed under the name Pteropus alecto (black flying fox). The record is from RNAcentral. Lineage: Eukaryota; Metazoa; Chordata; Mammalia; Chiroptera; Pteropodidae.
GUCAAGGCCAUGCCACCCUGAACACACUCAAUCCCAUCCCAUAGCGGAAGCUAAGCAGGGUUGGGCCUGGUUAGUACUUGGAUGGGAGACCACCUAGGAAGAGCUGGUGCUGUAGGCA